AGUGAACGCUGGCGGUAGGCCUAACACAUGCAAGUCGAACGGCAGCACAGUAAGAGCUUGCUCUUACGGGUGGCGAGUGGCGGACGGGUGAGGAAUACAUCGGAAUCUACUUUUUCGUGGGGGAUAACGUAGGGAAACUUACGCUAAUACCGCAUACGACCUACGGGUGAAAGCAUGGGAUCUUCGGACCUUGCGCGAUUGAAUGAGCCGAUGUCGGAUUAGCUAGUUGGCUGGGUAAAUGCCCACCAAGGCGACGAUCCGUAGAUGGUCUGAGGGGAUGAGCAGCGAAACUGGAACUGAGACACGGACAAGAGGCCUAAGGGAGGGAGCAGAGGGGAAUAUUGGACAAUGGGGGCAAGCAUGAUACAGCAAUACCGAGUGGGUGAAGAAGGCCUUCGGGUUGUAAAGCCCUUUUGUUGGGAAAGAAAAGCAGCAGGUUAAGACGACGAUGUAGUGACGGUAACCAAAGAAUAAGCACCGGCUAACUUCGUG
Molecule: ribosomal RNA, 492 nt
Filed under: uncultured bacterium
Lineage: Bacteria
Description: partial 16S ribosomal RNA
Rfam family: Bacterial small subunit ribosomal RNA
Source: RNAcentral